This 470-nucleotide ribosomal RNA is filed under the name Streptomyces sp. PDD-14b-9. RNAcentral's name for it is "bacterial SSU rRNA". It matches the Rfam family "Bacterial small subunit ribosomal RNA", at positions 315 to 797 of the family's 1533-position model. The record is from RNAcentral. Lineage: Bacteria; Bacillati; Actinomycetota; Actinomycetes; Kitasatosporales; Streptomycetaceae.
GGGACUGAGACACGGCCCAGACUCCUACGGGAGGCAGCAGUGGGGAAUAUUGCACAAUGGGCGAAAGCCUGAUGCAGCGACGCCGCGUGAGGGAUGACGGCCUUCGGGUUGUAAACCUCUUUCAGCAGGGAAGAAGCGAAAGUGACGGUACCUGCAGAAGAAGCGCCGGCUAACUACGUGCCAGCAGCCGCGGUAAUACGUAGGGCGCAAGCGUUGUCCGGAAUUAUUGGGCGUAAAGAGCUCGUAGGCGGCUUGUCACGUCGGUUGUGAAAGCCCGGGGCUUAACCCCGGGUCUGCAGUCGAUACGGGCAGGCUAGAGUUCGGUAGGGGAGAUCGGAAUUCCUGGUGUAGCGGUGAAAUGCGCAGAUAUCAGGAGGAACACCGGUGGCGAAGGCGGAUCUCUGGGCCGAUACUGACGCUGAGGAGCGAAAGCGUGGGGAGCGAACAGGAUUAGAUACCCUGGUAGUCCA